CGCAGGCCAGGCCGCAGGCUGAGGCCGGGACCGGAGGGGACUGGCGCGGUGGCAGAGGACGCAGGCAGCAGGGACCAGCAAGCAACACGGAGAGCAGAUCGCCCCACUACAAUUAAAUCAAAGAGGUUAUUAACACAGUGGCAGAAGUAAUGGUUAUAAAUAAAACAAACUUUAUCCAAAUUAUAAAGAGCUAUUAAAGAGAAUUCACAAAGUGAAAGUGAGCCAAGGUGAUUGCAUUAUUCUCAAAAGAGCGUUUAUUAAACCUUUAGAGCUCUGGUUCUCCCACUGUCCAGCAUUGAUUGAGAACAGCAAGCCAUAUAAGGUCACCUAGGAAGAAGAUCAGAAUUCAGUCUUUAAAAGGCCUGAUGGUAGUGGCGCAUGCCUUCAAUCCCAACGCUAAAGAGGAAUAUAAGACGGGGAGACAGAUCUCAACUUAGUCUCAUUCUGAGGAUUCAUGGAGGCAGGACAGCUGAGGCAGUGAGGACCUAAGUUUAAUCUCAAGCACCCACAUGUUGACUCACAACAAUCUAACUCCAGUUCCCAUGUAUGUGGUACCUUCUUCAAACUUCUACAGACACAAGGCAUGCAUAUAGUGCACAACUACAUAUGCAGCUGGACAGAAAUAGAAUGGCAGCCCAUACAAAUGCUGAACUGUAUCACUUCAAACUUCAUUUAUGAAGUAAGAAGAAUGCAAAUGAGGAUAGACUCAAAAGAAAUUAGAGAGAAUAUAAUACCCUCUUAGAAACUUAAGUUCUAGUGAAUGGUACAUAAGUUAACAAGGAAACAUCAUAUUAAAAUUGCGAGUGAAUGAUCAUAAUUCUGAACCUCUUUCAACUACGUAAAAAAAAUCUACAACAUGACUAGUCAGUACUGCGGUUUUCAUAUUGCUAUACUUUUCUACUAUACUCUAUCAUUCAUAAUUAAUUUUCUGUUAUGUACCAAGAAACACUGAAGAAAAUCUACAAAUCUACUGUUUAGUACAAGGCUACAGAAAUGAAUAGGGCCAGUCUUGCCUUCUGCAAUAUUGUAACAAUCAACAAUAGCAACAAUAGAGAAUUCGCAUUUUCUGUUUGCUUCCUGAAUAUACUCUGCCACCGCCUGACAUGUCACACACCACUCCAUCCUCAUGAAAUUCCUGUCAUCACCUGUUUUCAGUGUUAACUCCUUAAAGUAAGAG
Molecule: long non-coding RNA, 1177 nt
Organism: Alexandromys fortis (reed vole)
Lineage: Eukaryota; Metazoa; Chordata; Mammalia; Rodentia; Cricetidae
Exons: 6
Source: RefSeq, a predicted model, not a curated record